Molecule: ribosomal RNA, 481 nt
Filed under: uncultured bacterium
Lineage: Bacteria
Description: partial 16S ribosomal RNA
Rfam family: Bacterial small subunit ribosomal RNA
Source: RNAcentral
GAUGAACGCUAGCGGCAGGCCUAAUACAUGCAAGUCGAACGAGAUUAAGAGGCUUGCUUCUUAUGAAAGUGGCGCACGGGUGCGUAACGCGUAUGCAACCUACCUUAAUCAGGGGGAUAGCCCGAAGAAAUUCGGAUUAAGACCGCAUAAAAACACAGGAUAGCAUUAUCCUAUGUUCAAAUAUUUAUAGGAUUAAGAUGGGCAUGCGUGUCAUUAGCUAGUUGGCGGGGUAACGGCCCACCAAGGCGACGAUGACUAGGGGAUCUGAGAGGAUGACCCCCCACACUGGUACUGAGACACGGACCAGACUCCUACGGGAGGCAGCAGUAAGGAAUAUUGGUCAAUGGAGGGAACUCUGAACCAGCCAUGCCGCGUGCAGGAAGACAGCCCUCUGGGUCGUAAACUGCUUUUAUUCGGGAAUAAACCUUUCUACGUGUAGGAAGCUGAAUGUACCGAAGGAAUAAGGAUCGGCUAACUCCGU